ACUCCCAACCUCCAGGCCCCAUGGCCACUUCCUCCCUCCUGCGAGGACAGCUGGCAACUGGGGUGCAGUACCCUCCCUGCCCCCCGCCCCCUUCUUUGGGCCACACGCUGUGAGAAGGGGUCUAGAUCCUCGAGGGGGGGAUGGCUGCCCUGUGCCGGCUCUGCAGGCACAUGAUAGCCGACUGCCACUGCUGGGGCGAGGAGGGGGGGCCUCUUUCCACCCGACAGAUACCGACACCCAAUAUAGAAACCGAGAAGAGCCAGGCAGGAAAACACAAGCUCUCACCCGUCUGGAGGCUCCGCGGCUUGGCGCCCAGAUAUGCCAGGUUCACGUUGGCCUUGCGGCCGUCGAUGAUGGGGUUCGGGUCUUUGCAAGCCCUCUCAGCUGCCGCCCGGUCGGCCAUGGUCACCUGGUGGAGCAGAGACACAUCAGGGGCUGCCGUGGGGGGAACCAGGGGCGAAAGGGGCAGACGGCUCCGCCCUGGCACCGGAUGCUGCCACCCCUCUCUUCCCUUCCUCUGAGGGUGCCUGUGACCCAGGGUCCUUGAGCCAAAGCUCCUCUGAACCCUACCUGGGGCUCUCCCACAAAGAUGCCUCCUGGAUUCCAGCUCCUCCCGUCAAAGUUCAAGGCCUGGGAAAUGUGGCCUUCAAGGACAAAAAUAAUCCCCUGCGGGGAUAGGGCAAAAAUGAACCCCGAAGGGAGCUUGGGGGGCCGCCUGGACUUGCCCACCAGUGAGGGCCGAGACUUUCCUCUGAGAAGGAGUUUGCGACGCUAUGCUUGGAAGGCAACCGUCAGGUGCUAAGCAGAACCAUGCUUGGGCCUUCCACACCAGUCAAGGUACUCUCACAGCAAAGCCCCACCGAAGGGGCCCACAGGUUGGAUUCGAGGUACGUGAAGUCCCAAGAGAUGACAUGAAGCCCCAAAUGGAUGCCCUGGCUCCCCAGCACCAGAGGGAAACGCCCCCUCACCGAAGACAGUGGCAAGUGCCAUGCUUCAAGUAACACAGGGAGCGGCCUCCAGUGCACCUGUUUUAGCAGCCAGUCCUGGAGGCAGAAAGAUUUACAAGGGAGUGGAAAGGCUGGCAAACACAGGACACAUGGAGAUGCCCAAAGUCAGUGGGGGUCAGGGUUCAACCUGGAAAUGCAGUCUUCUCAGCUGAGGAAGGCAGUGAGUCCUGGCCAGGAAGCCGGUCCAAGCCCCUGCCUCGUCCCCAGUUCACCUCGUGAAAGCUGAUGAAUGACCAAUGCUUGCAGAGGGGUCUGGAGUAAUGGCGGCACCGUAUUAAGGGGCGAUCAGGCUGUAUCUUGACACUGGGAUUCAUAAGAGGAGGAAGAAACCUAUCAUGCUGACGGGUAGUGAAGAAGAGAAAUGAAAGACAAAAGACACAAGAGAAGGCCAGGUGCAGUGGUUCACUCCUGUAAUCCCAGCUACCUGGGAGGCUGAGACAGGAGAAUCGCCUGAACCCGGGAGGCAGAGGGCGCACUGAGCUGAGAUCACGCCACUGCAGUGCAGCCUGGACGACAGGGCGAGACUCAGUCUCAAAAAAAAAAAAAAAAAAAAAGACACCAGAGAGUGCUGCCGCCAGUGAGCUGACGGAAUCCGCAGUGUGGAUUCGGGCCCGUAGGAUGCUGGGGAUUGUCAGUGCCUUCUUUGAGCUUUGUCUCCUCCCAUACUGCCUCCUCUGCACCACAGUCAGGAGGGAAAAAGAAUAAAAGAUUAAGAAUGCAGGUCAGUUCUUUUUCGGGAGCCGAUUUACAUUUUAAGCAAGUAUGCAACAGGUGUUUCUCAUUGGCUUUCGAAACAGCCCUCACCUGAAAAAAUAUUUUUCAAUAGAUUGAUGCAAAAUUCACAAUAGGCUCUUAGACUGUGGUGAUGGUUUCAUGGGUGUAUGUUUAUCUCCAAACUCAUCAAGUUGUAUAAGUUAAAUAUGUACAGCCUUUUAUAUGUCACACUUCAAUAAAGUGUAAAAACUCACACAGUC
Molecule: long non-coding RNA, 1981 nt
Filed under: Homo sapiens (human)
Lineage: Eukaryota; Metazoa; Chordata; Mammalia; Primates; Hominidae
Description: RBM38 antisense RNA 1
Source: RNAcentral